This 492-nucleotide ribosomal RNA is filed under the name uncultured bacterium. RNAcentral's name for it is "partial 16S ribosomal RNA". It matches the Rfam family "Bacterial small subunit ribosomal RNA", at positions 29 to 507 of the family's 1533-position model. The record is from RNAcentral.
AGUGAACGCUGGCGGUAGGCCUAACACAUGCAAGUCGAGCGGCAGCACAGUAAGAGCUUGCUCUUACGGGUGGCGAGUGGCGGACGGGUGAGGAAUACAUCGGAAUCUACUUUUUCGUGGGGGAUAACGUAGGGAAACUUACGCUAAUACCGCAUACGACCUACGGGUGAAAGCAGGGGAUCUUCGGACCUUGCGCGAUUGAAUGAGCCGAUGUCGGAUUAGCUAGUUGGCGGGGUGAAGGCCCACCAAGGCGACGAUCCGUAGCUGGUCUGAGAGGAUGAUCAGCCACACUGGAACUGAGACACGGUCCAGACUCCUACGGGAGGCAGCAGUGGGGAAUAUUGGACAAUGGGCGCAAGCCUGAUCCAGCCAUACCGCGUGGGUGAAGAAGGCCUUCGGGUUGUAAAGCCCUUUUGUUGGGAAAGAAAAGCAGCAGGUUAAUACCCCGCUGUUCUGACGGUACCCAAAGAAUAAGCACCGGCUAACUUCGUG